Long non-coding RNA from Antechinus flavipes (yellow-footed antechinus), 5660 nucleotides. RefSeq lists it as uncharacterized. Lineage: Eukaryota; Metazoa; Chordata; Mammalia; Dasyuromorphia; Dasyuridae. The record is from RefSeq and is a predicted model, not a curated record. The transcript is spliced from 7 exons.
CUAGAUCCAAUACUAUUUUCCUCAAACUCCAAGGUAACUGACUACUUUUCCUUAUGCUCAAAGGCGCGGUAAGUCUAGAGAGAGGAAUAGUUGGAUAGUAAAGAUCGGACUAGUGGCAGGGGGUCAAUAAAAUGGCCUCUGGUUAUAUACUAGGAACAACACUACAACACUUGACAGAGUCCAGGGGCCAGCUCUUGGGCUUCUCCCUUCUAUACCACAGGCACUUGCCCUUCCAAACUCUAAAAUAUCCCACCCUGGUCAACAAGUUCCCUUGAAUGGAGAUCUCUCUAAUUCCGGUGGAAAGGGAAAGCAGCAAAAUAGAAAGAAGGCAGCGGGAGAAUGGAAUGAGCUUACCUGCAAAGCGAGAGCAGCAUCAAGGACUGCAGAUGAGAGAAUGGACAAUGAGAACUGACUGCAAUGGAGAUAGUCGAUGUACUCCAGGCACCUCCAAUUGCUUCCGGAAGCCCAUAACUCAAACCCAGAGGGGACAAACAACCAAUGUUAUCUCUGCCCUGAUCUCAUGUUUGAGCUAAAUUCCACACUCUCAGCACUUUUUGUAGAGUGGGGGUUUUUCUUCGCUGCCAUACCUUCCUAUGGAGCCAAGGGCAUGGCAGCCAGUCAAGCUAUUAUCAUCUUCUUCUCUGAAGGUAUUCUCACCUUCCUCCCUUCGUUCCCUGCAUACAGAACUUCCAUUGGAUGCCUUUCUUUUUUAAAAGUUGCUUUCUAAGCUCCCUUUUCUGAAGGGGAGCUUUGUGGGGCUCUCUUUGUCAUCCAGGGUCACAUUCUAAUGCCACUGUCCUCAUCACCCAUGUCAACUCUGGAAAAAGUGAUGCUCAAUUGGACACAAGAGAAGAACCCUGGAAGAGAAGGUCUUCUUUAUUUCUCAACUCUUGCAAGAGAACUUGGAAUGUAAGGGGCAUUAUAUCACACAUACCAGCUGGAUGUCUCACAAAAUCUGAUGGCUGUGGAAAGAUUGCUGGAUUUGGAGCCAAAGGACCCAUUCUGAUUCUGAUUCUGCUACUUAAGACCCAUUAAAGCUUGGUCCACAAGACCUCCUCUUUCUGGUCCUUAGUUUUCUCAUCUGUAAAAUGAGAGGAUUGGACAAGAUAAUUGCUAAAGUCUCCAUUCUAACUCCAAAGAUGCUGAGGAAGCAUUACUCCAAACCACUUGUCACAGAAUCAGGAGAUUCCCAUCAUAACAACAGAACAUUUUGACAUCCUUUGCCCAAGGACAAUUGCAUUGGAAAAUCAAUCAGCUCUAGAUCCUGAGUUUAAAAAAAAAGGCACAAAAAUCAGUGGGCUAGUUAUCCUCCCCAGCAGCAUCAACAAUAUGGCAGCUGAUGCCAUGCGUUUGAACAAGACAGACCUCUCCAAUGACCACAUCCACGGGACUAUCUGCCAGCAUCCUCCUUUGCAAUAUUGUUUCCACUUGGCCUCAUUUCACCCCCAUUGUCCCCUAAGCCAAGGGCUAAUACUCACAUUGUUGUGUCUGCUGGGAAGGGAGAAAACAAGAUUCCAUGCCCAGCCUUGAAUAUGACCCAAGUACGGGCCAAGUACUAUUAGGCUCACAGAUUUAGAGCUAGAAAUAGGGUGACUUUUGAAAAGCCUGAACUUUUCAAAGAAGCAUGAGCCCUACUAGCCAAUGGACUCCAGAUGUUCUCCUGUGUCCAUCAGCCCUGCCUAUGAACAAUUCUAACAUGUCAGAACAAAAGGACAAAGGGCAUUGGGGCUGUUUCCUCAGCAAGAUAUCAACUUUUUUUUCUUAAAACAAAUUUUUCAAAGGUUAGAUAGGGUCCAGACACCAGAAAAGCCUGGGAACCUCCAGGAGAACAGACCAUUGAAAGGAUGCCAUAGGACAAGAAGAGGCAUGGGAAUAGGGAAUAUUUCAAUGAAAAUCCAGGAGACUCACACCACUGGUCUGGAGGAAUUGCAUGGGAAAGUUCUAAGCGAUGGUCUUCCUCAUUAUUACAGCACUUAGUACAAAGGACAAGAAGCAAACUAGUAUCUGUAAGACAAUAAUGGAACUUUUUGUAGUUACAAAGAAUAGGAAGGAAAGCAAGGACCCUUCAAAUGUGCAAUGGUGAAGAAAAUGAUGGCAUAUUAAUGUAGUAGAAUAUUGGGGUUAUAAGAGAUGAUAAAAUAUGAAGAAUCCAAAGAAACUUGAGAUUUUUAUGAAAUGAUAUAAAAUAAAAAAAGGAAAACAACAACAACAACAACAAAACCCAAACAAGUGACAUGAUAACCAUAAUGACUUCAGAAUUCAUUACCAUUCCCCCAUUUCUGAACUUCCCUAUCAUUGUCAAGGGAACUACCUACUCCCAGUCACCUAGGUGUCAUCCUUGCCUCCUUAUUCUUUCUCAUUCCACCCUUAUAUCUGAUCUAUUACCAAGUUCUGUCAAUUUUACCUUCAUGGUAUGUCUUACAUAUGCCUCCUCCCUUCUCUGACACAGCUACUACCCAGUUCAGGCCCUUAUCACCUCAAAUUUCUCUCUGUUCCACUUUAGCCAACACUCAGCUUCAAAUUAAUCCUCCUAAAGCGAAAGUCUGACCCUAUAACCCUCUCCCCCAACUCAAUAAAUUCCAGUGGCUCCCUAUCACCUCCAGGAUCAAAUAUAAAAUUCUGUCUGACAUUCAAAACCCUUUAUAACCUGGACCCUUCCCACCUUUUCAGUCUUAUUAUAUCUUAUAACUCAACAUGUACUUAUGAUCCAAUGAUACUGGUGUCUCCUUGCUAUUUCUCAAACAAAACAUUCCAUUUUCCAGACUCUAGGCAUUUUUAUUUGCUGUCCCUCAAGCCUGGAAUUCUCUUCUUCCUUAUCUCCAAAUCCUGGUUUGCCUGGCAACUAAAAUCCCACCUUUUACAGGAAGUUUUUUCCAAUUCCCCUUUAAUGUUAGUUAAUGUCUUCCUUUUGAAUGUUUCCCAUUUAUCCUGUAUAGACACACUUCAUUUUAUUGUGUUUCAUAGAUAUGGUGGGUUGUUUUUUUUUUUUUUUGCCCUAUAUUUGAAGAUUCAUGGCAACCCUGCAUGGAGCAAGCUUGUCGGUGCCAUUUUUUUCAACAGCAUGUGCUCACAUUGUGUCUCUAUGUCACAUUUUGGUCAUUCUUGCAAUUUUUCAAACAUUUUCAUUAUUAUUAUAUCCAUUAUAGUGAUCUGGAAUCAGAAAUCUUCAAGGCUACUAUUAUAAUUGUUUGGGGGCUCUACAAAUAAGUGGGUGAACUUAACUGAUAAAAGGUGCAUAUGUUCUGAUUGUUCUACCAACCCUUCAUUCCCUGUCUCUCCUUUCUCUCAUCUCUCUCCUCCUUGGGCUUCCUUAUUCCUCAAGAUACAACAAUAUCAAUAUUAAGCCACUUAGUAACCCUACAAUGACCUCUAAGUGUUCAAGUGGAAGAAAGAGUCAAUCCAUGUGGCAAACUUCAUUGUUUCAUUUUAAGAAACUGCCAUAGCCACCUCAUCCUGUAUCAACCACCACCCUCAUCAGUCAGCAGCCAUCAACAUAGAAGCAAAACACUCCACCAGCAAAAAGAUGACAAAUCCUGAAGAGGCAGAGGGUUAGUAGUUUUUAUCAAAUGUAAUUUUUUAAAAUUAAGGUAUGUACAUUGCUUUUAUAUAUACUAUUAACACACAUUUAGUAGGCUAUAGCAUGGUAUAAAUAAUUUUUAUAUUCACUGGGAAACAAAAAAAAUUGUGUGACUUGAUUUAUUAUGUAAUAUUAAUUUUCUGAUGGUGGUCUAGAAACGUAUCUUCCAGGUAAGUCUGUAUAUAUCUUGUUUGUAUGCAAUUUUUUGCAUAAUUUCUCUCCCCCACUAGAUGGAGAGCUCCUAGAGAGGAGAAACUACCUUUGGUAUUUCUUUGUAUAUCCAGAGCUUAAUGCAAUGCCUGGAACAUAUUAGGCACUUAAUAAAUGUUUGUUAACUGACACUGUGAUUUCAGAUGAUUGAUACUGAAAUGUGCUUGCCGAGUCUCAAACAGAGAGGUGAUAGUCUUUUGCACAGAAUGAGAUAUUUUCAGUCAUGGCCAAUGUGUUCAUUUACUUUGCUUGACGGGGUGGACAAAGGAAUCAUUGAGAAGUGAUACAGACAUUUUAAAAAAUAGUAAUUUUUAAAUUUUUAUUUAUUUUUUGUUUUAAAGGUAUUGGACUUUAUAUCAGGAGAUAUGGUUCUAUGCCCUGUUCUAUUUAAUGAGUUAUGAGACCAUGGCAAGUGACUUAGUUUUUCUAGGUCUUGGUUUUCUAAGCUGCUUUUCUCACAAGACUGAAAUAAAAGACAUAUCCUGAAAACAACCAUGUCUUUGCAAAUAUAAAGGAUAACAGGCGUCACAACAAAGUUUUAAAGCCAGGGUGAAAAAUCUCAAAAUUAUAACAAUAAUCCUCAGUCUGUAAAUUUCUAGCAUUUGUAACUCACUCUCAGGAAGAACAAAGAACAGUAAAAAUGGGAAAUUGGAGUUUCAGAACAAAAGUGAGUAUCUCCAUGUAAAGAUGGGAAUUGGAGUUUCAGAACAAAGAUGAGUAUCUCCAUGUAAAGAUGGGAAUUGGAGUUUCAGAACAAAGAUGAAUAUCUCCAUGUAAAGAUGGGAAUUGGAGUUUCAGAACAAAGGUGAGUAUCUCCUUAGUAAAGAUGGGAAAUUGGAGUUUCAGAACAAAGGUGAGUAUCUCCAUGUAAAGAUGGGAAUUGGAGUUUCAGAACAAAGGUGAGUAUCUCCUUAGUAAAGAUGGGAAAUUGGAGUUUCAGAACAAAGAUGAGUAUCUCCAUGUAAAGAUGGGAAUUGGAGUUUCAGAACAAAGGUGAGUAUCUCCUUAGUAAAGAUGGGAAUUGGAGUUUCAGAACAAAGGUGAGUAUCUCCUUAGUAAAGAUGGGGAAUUGGAGUUUCAGAACAAAGGUGAGUAUCUCCAUGUAAAGAUGGGAAUUGGAGUUUCAGAACAAAGGUGAGUAUCUCCAUGUAAAGAUGGGAAUUGGAGUUUCAGAACAAAGGUGAGUAUCUCCUUAGUAAAGAUGGGGAAUUGGAGUUUCAGAACAAAGGUGAGUAUCUCCUUAGUAAAGAUGGGAAUUGGAGUUUCAGAACAAAGGUGAGUAUCUCCAUGUAAAGAUGGGAAUUGGAGUUUCAGAACAAAGGUGAGUAUCUCCAUGUAAAGAUGGGAAUUGGAGUUUCAGAACAAAGAUGAGUAUCUCCAUGUAAAGAUGGGAAUUGGAGUUUCAGAACAAAGGUGAGUAUCUCCUUAGUAAAGAUGGGAAUUGGAGUUUCAGAACAAAGGUGAGUAUCUCCUUAGUAAAGAUGGGAAUUGGAGUUUCAGAACAAAGGUGAGUAUCUCCUUAGUAAAGAUGGGAAUUGGAGUUUCAGAACAAAGGUGAGUAUCUCCAUGUAAAGAUGGGAAUUGGAGUUUCAGAACAAAGGUGAGUAUCUCCAUGUAAAGAUGGGAAUUGGAGUUUCAGAACAAAGGUGAGUAUCUCCUUAGUAAAGAUGGGAAUUGGAGUUUCAGAACAAAGGUGAGUAUCUCCUUAGUAAAGAUGGGAAUUGGAGUUUCAGAACAAAGGUGAGUAUCUCCUUAGUAAAGAUGGGAAUUGGAGUUUCAGAACAAAGGUGAGUAUCUCCAUGUAAAGAUGGGAAUUGGAGUUUCAGAACAAAGGUGAGUAUCUCCAUGUAAAGAUGGGAAUUGGAGUUUCAGA